This 274-nucleotide ribosomal RNA is filed under the name uncultured bacterium. Its description in RNAcentral is "partial 16S ribosomal RNA". It matches the Rfam family "Bacterial small subunit ribosomal RNA", at positions 523 to 796 of the family's 1533-position model. The record is from RNAcentral.
AUACGGAGGGUGCGAGCGUUAAUCGGAAUUACGGGGCGUAAAGGGCGUGUAGGCGGGUUGGUCAGUCAGAUGUGAAAGCCUGCGGCUUAACCGUAGAAAUGCAUUUGAAACUGCCGGCCUUGAGUGCGAGAGAGGGUAGUGGAAUUCCCAGUGUAGCGGUGAAAUGCGUAGAUAUUGGGAAGAACACCAGUAGCGAAGGCGGCUACCUGGCUCGCAACUGACGCUAAUGCGCGAAAGCGUGGGGAGCGAACAGGAUUAGAAACCCCAGUAGUCC